RNAcentral lists this ribosomal RNA (492 nucleotides) under uncultured bacterium. RNAcentral describes it as "partial 16S ribosomal RNA". It matches the Rfam family "Bacterial small subunit ribosomal RNA", at positions 29 to 507 of the family's 1533-position model. The record is from RNAcentral.
AGUGAACGCUGGCGGUAGGCCUAACACAUGCAAGUCGAACGGCAGCACAGUAAGAGCUUGCUCUUACUGGUGGCGAGUGGCGGACGGGUGAGGAAUACAUCGGAAUCUACUUUUUCGUGGGGGAUAACGUAGGGAAACUUACGCUAAUACCGCAUACUACCUACGGGUGAAAGCAGGGGUUCUUCGGACCUUUCGCGAUUGAAUGAGCCGAUGUCGGAUUCGCUAGGUGGCUGGGUAAAGGCCCACCAAGGCGACGAUCCGUAGCUGGUCUGAGAGGAUGAUCAGCCACACUGGAACUGAGACACGGUCCAGACUCCUACGGGAGGCAGCAGUGGGGAAUCUUUGACAAUGGGCGCAAGCCUGAUCCAGCCAUACCGCGUGGGUGAAGAAGGCCUUCGGGUUGUAAAGCCCUUUUGUUGGGAAAGAAAAGCAGCAGGUUAAUACCCCGCUGUUCUGACGGUACCCAAAGAAUAAGCACCGGCUAACUUCGUG